AGUAUACCAAUUUCCCCGGAAAACGGUAAUAGUGCGUGUAAACAUACUCCCAAGAAAAUCCGCUAAACUUAAUCUUACAGGUACCCGUACCGUAAACGGACACACGUAGUCGGGUUGAAUAUACUCAGGCGCUUGAGUGAAUCACGGUUAAGGAACUAGGCAAAUUGACCCUGUAACUUCGGGAUAAAGGGUCCCUACCCGGUGACGGGAGGGCGCAGAGAAUAGGUCCAGGCAACUGUUUAACAAAAACACAGGGCUGUGCAAAAUUGAAAGAUCACGUAUACAGCCUGACACCUGCCCGGUGCUGGAAGGUUAAGAGGAGAUGUCAUCGCAAGAGAAGCAUUGAAUUGAAGCCCCAGUAAACGGCGGCCGUAACUAUAACGGUCCUAAGGUAGCGAAAUUCCUUGUCGGGUAAGUUCCGACCUGCACGAAUGGUGUAAUGAUCUGGACACUGUCUCAACCGUGAGCUCAGUGAAAUUGUAGUAUCGGUGAAGAUGCCGAUUACCCGCGAUGGGACGAAAAGACCCCGUGAACCUUUACUAUAGCUUAACAUUGAAUUUGGGUAAUUGAUGUGUAGGAUAGGCCGGAGACUUUGAAGC
This 599-nucleotide ribosomal RNA is filed under the name Bacteroides fragilis. Its description in RNAcentral is "partial 23S ribosomal RNA". It matches the Rfam family "Bacterial large subunit ribosomal RNA", at positions 1562 to 2163 of the family's 2925-position model. Lineage: Bacteria; Pseudomonadati; Bacteroidota; Bacteroidia; Bacteroidales; Bacteroidaceae. The record is from RNAcentral.